UACGGAGGAUGCGAGCGUUAUCCGGAUUUAUUGGGUUUGAAGGGUGCGUAGGCGGGCUUUUAAGUCAGCGGUAAAAAUUCGGGGCUCAACCCCGUCCGGCCGUUGAAACUGGGGGUCUUGAGUGGGCGAGAAGAAGGCGGAAUGCGUGGUGUAGCGGUGAAAUGCAUAGAUAUCACGCAGAACCCCGAUUGCGAAGGCAGCCUUCCGGCGCCCUACUGACGCUGAGGCACGAAAGUGCGGGGAGCAAACAGG
This 252-nucleotide ribosomal RNA is filed under the name uncultured bacterium. Its description in RNAcentral is "partial 16S ribosomal RNA". It matches the Rfam family "Bacterial small subunit ribosomal RNA", at positions 524 to 776 of the family's 1533-position model. The record is from RNAcentral.